RNAcentral lists this ribosomal RNA (269 nucleotides) under uncultured bacterium. RNAcentral describes it as "partial 16S ribosomal RNA". It matches the Rfam family "Bacterial small subunit ribosomal RNA", at positions 524 to 794 of the family's 1533-position model. The record is from RNAcentral.
UGCAGAGGGGGCAAGCGUUAUUCGGAAUUAUUGGGCGUAAAGGGCGCGUAGGCGGCCUCGUAAGUCGAAGGUGAAAUCCCCGAGCUUAACUCGGGAACUGCCUUCGAUACUGCUUGGCUUGAGUCCGGGAGGAAAGUGGAAUUCCUAGUGUAGCGGUGAAAUGCGUAGAUAUUAGGAGGAACACCGGUGGUGAAGACGACGUACUGGAUGGUCACUGACGCUGAGAGGCGAAAGCGUGGGUAGCAAACAGGAUUAGAAACCCCAGUAGU